This 2787-nucleotide ribosomal RNA is filed under the name human gut metagenome. Its description in RNAcentral is "bacterial LSU rRNA". It matches the Rfam family "Bacterial large subunit ribosomal RNA". The record is from RNAcentral.
AGCGUACACGGUGGAUGCCCUGGCAGUCAGAGGCGAUGAAGGACGUGCUAAUCUGCGAUAAGCGUCGGUAAGGUGAUAUGAACCGUUAUAACCGGCGAUUUCCGAAUGGGGAAACCCAGUGUGUUUCGACACACUAUCAUUAACUGAAUCCAUAGGUUAAUGAGGCGAACCGGGGGAACUGAAACAUCUAAGUACCCCGAGGAAAAGAAAUCAACCGAGAUUCCCCCAGUAGCGGCGAGCGAACGGGGAGCAGCCCAGAGCCUGAAUCAGUGUGUGUGUUAGUGGAAGCGUCUGGAAAGGCGCGCGAUACAGGGUGACAGCCCCGUACACAAAAAUGCACAUGCUGUGAGCUCGAUGAGUAGGGCGGGACACGUGGUAUCCUGUCUGAAUAUGGGGGGACCAUCCUCCAAGGCUAAAUACUCCUGACUGACCGAUAGUGAACCAGUACCGUGAGGGAAAGGCGAAAAGAACCCCGGCGAGGGGAGUGAAAAAGAACCUGAAACCGUGUACGUACAAGCAGUGGGAGCACGCUUAGGCGUGUGACUGCGUACCUUUUGUAUAAUGGGUCAGCGACUUAUAUUCUGUAGCAAGGUUAACCGAAUAGGGGAGCCGAAGGGAAACCGAGUCUUAACUGGGCGUUAAGUUGCAGGGUAUAGACCCGAAACCCGGUGAUCUAGCCAUGGGCAGGUUGAAGGUUGGGUAACACUAACUGGAGGACCGAACCGACUAAUGUUGAAAAAUUAGCGGAUGACUUGUGGCUGGGGGUGAAAGGCCAAUCAAACCGGGAGAUAGCUGGUUCUCCCCGAAAGCUAUUUAGGUAGCGCCUCGUGAAUUCAUCUCCGGGGGUAGAGCACUGUUUCGGCAAGGGGGUCAUCCCGACUUACCAACCCGAUGCAAACUGCGAAUACCGGAGAAUGUUAUCACGGGAGACACACGGCGGGUGCUAACGUCCGUCGUGAAGAGGGAAACAACCCAGACCGCCAGCUAAGGUCCCAAAGUCAUGGUUAAGUGGGAAACGAUGUGGGAAGGCCCAGACAGCCAGGAUGUUGGCUUAGAAGCAGCCAUCAUUUAAAGAAAGCGUAAUAGCUCACUGGUCGAGUCGGCCUGCGCGGAAGAUGUAACGGGGCUAAACCAUGCACCGAAGCUGCGGCAGCGACGCUGAUGCGUUGUUGGGUAGGGGAGCGUUCUGUAAGCCUGCGAAGGUGUGCUGUGAGGCAUGCUGGAGGUAUCAGAAGUGCGAAUGCUGACAUAAGUAACGAUAAAGCGGGUGAAAAGCCCGCUCGCCGGAAGACCAAGGGUUCCUGUCCAACGUUAAUCGGGGCAGGGUGAGUCGACCCCUAAGGCGAGGCCGAAAGGCGUAGUCGAUGGGAAACAGGUUAAUAUUCCUGUACUUGGUGUUACUGCGAAGGGGGGACGGAGAAGGCUAUGUUGGCCGGGCGACGGUUGUCCCGGUUUAAGCGUGUAGGCUGGUUUUCCAGGCAAAUCCGGAAAAUCAAGGCUGAGGCGUGAUGACGAGGCACUACGGUGCUGAAGCAACAAAUGCCCUGCUUCCAGGAAAAGCCUCUAAGCAUCAGGUAACAUCAAAUCGUACCCCAAACCGACACAGGUGGUCAGGUAGAGAAUACCAAGGCGCUUGAGAGAACUCGGGUGAAGGAACUAGGCAAAAUGGUGCCGUAACUUCGGGAGAAGGCACGCUGAUAUGUAGGUGAAGUCCCUCGCGGAUGGAGCUGAAAUCAGUCGAAGAUACCAGCUGGCUGCAACUGUUUAUUAAAAACACAGCACUGUGCAAACACGAAAGUGGACGUAUACGGUGUGACGCCUGCCCGGUGCCGGAAGGUUAAUUGAUGGGGUUAGCGCAAGCGAAGCUCUUGAUCGAAGCCCCGGUAAACGGCGGCCGUAACUAUAACGGUCCUAAGGUAGCGAAAUUCCUUGUCGGGUAAGUUCCGACCUGCACGAAUGGCGUAAUGAUGGCCAGGCUGUCUCCACCCGAGACUCAGUGAAAUUGAACUCGCUGUGAAGAUGCAGUGUACCCGCGGCAAGACGGAAAGACCCCGUGAACCUUUACUAUAGCUUGACACUGAACAUUGAGCCUUGAUGUGUAGGAUAGGUGGGAGGCUUUGAAGUGUGGACGCCAGUCUGCAUGGAGCCGACCUUGAAAUACCACCCUUUAAUGUUUGAUGUUCUAACGUUGACCCGUAAUCCGGGUUGCGGACAGUGUCUGGUGGGUAGUUUGACUGGGGCGGUCUCCUCCUAAAGAGUAACGGAGGAGCACGAAGGUUGGCUAAUCCUGGUCGGACAUCAGGAGGUUAGUGCAAUGGCAUAAGCCAGCUUGACUGCGAGCGUGACGGCGCGAGCAGGUGCGAAAGCAGGUCAUAGUGAUCCGGUGGUUCUGAAUGGAAGGGCCAUCGCUCAACGGAUAAAAGGUACUCCGGGGAUAACAGGCUGAUACCGCCCAAGAGUUCAUAUCGACGGCGGGGUUUGGCACCUCGAUGUCGGCUCAUCACAUCCUGGGGCUGAAGUAGGUCCCAAGGGUAUGGCUGUUCGCCAUUUAAAGUGGUACGCGAGCUGGGUUUAGAACGUCGUGAGACAGUUCGGUCCCUAUCUGCCGUGGGCGCUGGAGAACUGAGGGGGGCUGCUCCUAGUACGAGAGGACCGGAGUGGACGCAUCACUGGUGUUCGGGUUGUCAUGCCAAUGGCACUGCCCGGUAGCUAAAUGCGGAAGAGAUAAGUGCUGAAAGCAUCUAAGCACGAAACUUGCCCCGAGAUGAGUUCUCCCUGACUCCUUGA